Molecule: ribosomal RNA, 253 nt
Filed under: uncultured bacterium
Lineage: Bacteria
Description: partial 16S ribosomal RNA
Rfam family: Bacterial small subunit ribosomal RNA
Source: RNAcentral
UACGUAGGGUGCAAGCGUUGUCCGGAAUUAUUGGGAGUAAAGAGCUCGUAGGCGGUCUGUCGCGUCUGCUGUGAAAACUCGGGGCUUAACCCCGGGCCUGCAGUGGGUACGGGCAGACUAGAGUGCGGUAGGGGAGACUGGAAUUCCUGGUGUAGCGGUGAAAUGCGCAGAUAUCGGGAGGAACACCGGUGGCGAAGGCGGGUCUCUGGGCCGUAACUGACGCUGAGGAGCGAAAGCGUGGGGAGCGAACAGG